AGUCGAACGGAGAUACACGCUGAAUGGACGGAGCUUGCUUUUGAAAUUUUUGAUCUAUUAGUGGCGGACGGGUGAGUAACGCGUGAGCAACCGCCUUUCAGAGGGGGAUAACGUUUGGAAACGAACGCUAAUACCGCAUGAGACUACGGUACUACAUGGUACAGUGGCCAAAGGAGCAAUCCGCUGAAAGAUGGGCUCGCGUCCGAUUAGAUAGUUGGCGGGGCAACGGCCCACCAAGUCGACGAUCGGUAGCCGGACUGAGAGGUUGAACGGCCACAUUGGGACUGAGACACGGCCCAGACUCCUACGGGAGGCAGCAGUGAGGGAUAUUGGUCAAUGGGGGGAACCCUGAACCAGCAACGCCGCGUGAGGGAAGACGGUUUUCGGAUUGUAAACCUCUGUCCUCUGUGAAGACAAUGACGGUAGCAGAGGAGGAAGCUCCGGCUAACUACGUGCCAGCAGCCGCGGUAAUACGUAGGGAGCGAGCGUUGUCCGGAUUUACUGGGUGUAAAGGGUGCGUAGGCGGCCCUGCAAGUCAGAAGUGAAAUCCAUGGGCUUAACCCGUGAACUGCUUUUGAAACUGCAGGACUUGAGUGAAGUAGAGGCAGGCGGAAUUCCCGGUGUAGCGGUGAAAUGCGUAGAGAUCGGGAGGAACACCAGUGGCGAAGGCGGCCUGCUGGGCUUUAACUGACGCUGAAGCACGAAAGCGUGGGUAGCAAACAGGAUUAGAUACCCUGGUAGUCCACGCCGUAAACGAUGAUUACUAGGUGUGGGGGGUCUGACCCCCUCCGUGCCGGAGUUAACACAAUAAGUAAUCCACCUGGGGAGUACGGCCGCAAGGCUGAAACUCAAAGGAAUUGACGGGGGCCCGCACAAGCAGUGGAGUAUGUGGAUUAAUUCGAAGCAACGCGAAGAACCUUACCAGGUCUUGACAUCCCGCUAACGAGGCAGAGAUGCGUCAGUGCCCUUCGGGGAAAGCGGAGACAGGUGGUGCAUGGUUGUCGUCAGCUCGUGUCGUGAGAUGUUGGGUUAAGUCCCGCACGAGCGCAACCCUUACUGUUAGUUGCUACGCAGAGCACUCUAGCAGACCGCCGUUGACAAACGGAGAAGGUGGGGAUGAUGUCAAAUCAUCAUGCCCCUU
This 1141-nucleotide ribosomal RNA is filed under the name uncultured bacterium. Its description in RNAcentral is "bacterial SSU rRNA". It matches the Rfam family "Bacterial small subunit ribosomal RNA", at positions 60 to 1203 of the family's 1533-position model. The record is from RNAcentral.